GAUGAACGCUGGCGGCGUGCCUAAUACAUGCGAGUCGAGCGAACAGACGAGGAGCUUGCUCCUCUGACGUUAGCGGCGGACGGGUGAGUAACACGUGGAUAACCUACCUAUAAGACUGGGAUAACUUCGGGAAACCGGAGCUAAUACCGGAUAACAUGUUGAACCGCAUGGUUCAACAGUGAAAGACGGUCUUGCUGUCACUUAUAGAUGGAUCCGCGCCGCAUUAGCUAGUUGGUAAGGUAACGGCUUACCAAGGCAACGAUGCGUAGCCGACCUGAGAGGGUGAUCGGCCACACUGGAACUGAGACACGGCCCAGACUCCUACGGGAGGCAGCAGUAGGGAAUCUUCCGCAAUGGGCGAAAGCCUGACGGAGCAACGCCGCGUGAGUGAAGAAGGUCUUCGGAUCGUAAAACUCUGUUAUUAGGGAAGAACAAAUGUGUAAGUAACUAUGCACGUCUUGACGGUACCUAAUCAGAAAGCCACGGCUAACUACGUG
Molecule: ribosomal RNA, 497 nt
Filed under: uncultured bacterium
Lineage: Bacteria
Description: partial 16S ribosomal RNA
Rfam family: Bacterial small subunit ribosomal RNA
Source: RNAcentral